GAUGAACGCUGGCGGCGUGCCUAAUACAUGCAAGUCGAGCGAACGGACGAGACGCUUGCUUUUCUGAUGUUAGCGGCGGACGGGUGAGUAACACGUGGAUAACCUACCUAUAAGACUGGGAUAACUUCGGGAAACCGGAGCUAAUACCGGAUAAUAUUUUGAACAGCAUGGUUCAAAAGUGAAAGACGGUCUUGCUGUCACUUAUAGAUGGAUCCGCGCUGCAUUAGCUAGUUGGUACGGUAACGGCUUACCAAGGCAACGAUGCAUAGCCGACCUGAGAGGGUGAUCGGCCACACUGGAACUGAGACACGGUCCAGACUCCUACGGGAGGCAGCAGUAGGGAAUCUUCCGCAAUGGGCGAAAGCCUGACGGAGCAACGCCGCGUGAGUGAUGAAGGUCUUCGGAUCGUAAAACUCUGUUAUUAGGGAAGAAGAGAUGUGUAAGUAACUGUGCACAUCUUGACGGUACCUACUCAGAAAGCCACGGCUAACUACGUG
This 497-nucleotide ribosomal RNA is filed under the name uncultured bacterium. Its description in RNAcentral is "partial 16S ribosomal RNA". It matches the Rfam family "Bacterial small subunit ribosomal RNA", at positions 28 to 507 of the family's 1533-position model. The record is from RNAcentral.